CGUGCUUAACACAUGCAAGUCGAACGGAAAGGCCUCUUCGGAGGUACUCGAGUGGCGAACGGGUGAGUAACACGUGGGUGAUCUGCCCUGCACUCUGGGAUAAGCCUGGGAAACUGGGUCUAAUACCGGAUAGGACCAUGCUUUAGUGUGUGUGGUGGAAAGUUUUUUCGGUGUAGGAUGAGCCCGCGGCCUAUCAGCUUGUUGGUGGGGUAAUGGCCUACCAAGGCGGCGACGGGUAGCCGGACUGAGAGGUUGGUCGGCCACAUUGGGACUGAGAUACGGCCCAGACUCCUACGGGAGGCAGCAGUGGGGAAUAUUGCACAAUGGGCGCAAGCCUGAUGCAGCGACGCCGCGUGGGGGAUGACGGCCUUCGGGUUGUAAACUCCUUUCGCCAGGGACGAAGCGUUUUGUGACGGUACCUGGAGAAGAAGCACCGGCUAACUACGUGCCAGCAGCCGCRGUAAUACGUAGGGUGCAAGCGUUGNCCGGAAUUACUGGGCGUAAAGAGCUCGUA
Molecule: ribosomal RNA, 514 nt
Filed under: Corynebacterium pseudodiphtheriticum
Lineage: Bacteria; Bacillati; Actinomycetota; Actinomycetes; Mycobacteriales; Corynebacteriaceae
Description: bacterial SSU rRNA
Rfam family: Bacterial small subunit ribosomal RNA
Source: RNAcentral